CCCAAAGAAAAAAACAAAUGUUACCCAAUAGGCAAACAAUGCUGAGAGUUCACUUCCUCUAACUCUGUAGUUAAGUUACUCACUCAGUAUAACAUCACCCUCCUGCCAGGGGUUGAAGUCAGGAAGUAGUUUAUUUUCGCUGAAACUGAAGGGGGAAGUUAAAGAGAAAAAUAGCUGCAACUUGGUCAAUUCAGGAAAACCAGGUACGAAAAAAGAGGAGCAAGUUAAAGGGAAAGCCAGCUCGGAUUUGCUCACCAGUAAAAGGCAAAAAUCCCAGUGUUAUUCAUCUGCAUUUGGUGUGAAAGACAAAAGCUCAACUGGGAUCUGAGGCUUUCUGUGUCAGAGGGCAAGGAGUCAAUGGGGUUAUGAGGAAGUAAGACCACUUGAGACAUCAAAGAAAAGUAGAUCAAAUCACUAGACUCCUCCAAACAGGAGUGGGUGAAGACAAAAAGUGGAGAGAAUCCAGAGGGAAGAGAGGAGUAGGGAAAAUGGUGGAAAGGGAAGGUUUUUGAGAUGGAAGGCAGAGAAUGGGAACAAAAGAAGAAAAAGCUGUUUGUUUCAAAUCAAUAUUCUCCAAGAGGAUGUCUUGUUUCCCCAGGGAUAUUCUGAGGGACUCACAGGAUCAGAGCUGCGACACUUCUAACAUAUGAAUUCUCUCAAUUCUGAUGCCCUUUGACCUCUGCCACACAAUGCCAAGACAAACCCAGACCCCAGGCCCUGGAAACAGAGGAGGGGCAGGCAGAUUGACUGGCAAGCCUAUCACCACCUUGAUAACAGAUGACAUUAAAGAGAAAGUAUCAAUGUGAGGAUUAAAUGGGAUGAAAAAUAAAACAUCUGUCGGAGUGCCUGGAAUAUGGUACACAAAUAUCCAAGAUUGGAAAGAAGAAAGAAAAUGACGACAGAAUUUUGCAGUCUACAAGGCAAACACUGCCAUUCAUGUAGUUAUGGAGUUCCUACUAUGUGCAGACAAUGGGAAACUUUACGAAGAGCAGGUAUUCAUGGGCAACAAUUUAGGAAAUGAUACAGAAAGAAAGGAAGGCUGGAAAGACCAAAGAAAAACAGCUACAGUUUUGCCAAGAACCAGCCCCACGCUUCAUGAGAAUUGUGAUACAUUUACAUUUGGCUUUUAAUUUCUGUAUCAAUUUGGACUGUGUUUUUGUGAAAAUGAGAUAAUAUAUGUGAAAGUACCUAGCUGAAUUCUUGGGAUAUGGCAAAAACCCAAUAAAUAUAAGUUUUUACUACUGUGUUAAGCAUCUUCUUGUCGUAAGCAGAAUUUACCCAGUUGAUAAGGAAAAGAUAAAGCUUAGUUGAGCCAAUUAGCAUAAAACAUUUC
This 1333-nucleotide long non-coding RNA is filed under the name Homo sapiens (human). Its description in RNAcentral is "HSALNT0079173". The record is from RNAcentral. Lineage: Eukaryota; Metazoa; Chordata; Mammalia; Primates; Hominidae.